UGGGGAAUUUUGGACAAUGGGGGAAACCCUGAUCCAGCCAUCCCGCGUGUGCGAUGAAGGCCUUCGGGUUGUAAAGCACUUUUGGCAGGAAAGAAACGUCAUGGGUUAAUACCCCGUGAAACUGACGGUACCUGCAGAAUAAGCACCGGCUAACUACGUGCCAGCAGCCGCGGUAAUACGUAGGGUACAAGCGUUAAUCGGAAUUACUGGGCGUAAAGCGUGCGCAGGCGGUUCGGAAAGAAAGAUGUGAAAUCCCAGAGCUCAACUUUGGAACUGCAUUUUUAACUACCGGGCUAGAGUGUGUCAGAGGGAGGUGGAAUUCCGCGUGUAGCAGUGAAAUGCGUAGAUAUGCGGAGGAACACCGAUGGCGAAGGCAGCCUCCUGGGAUAACACUGACGCUCAUGCACGAAAGCGUGGGGAGCAAACAGG
Molecule: ribosomal RNA, 429 nt
Filed under: Acidobacteriota bacterium
Lineage: Bacteria; Pseudomonadati; Acidobacteriota
Description: Acidobacteria bacterium partial 16S ribosomal RNA
Rfam family: Bacterial small subunit ribosomal RNA
Source: RNAcentral